UACGGAAGGCAUCAGUGGGGAAUAUUGCACAAUGGGCGCAAGCCUGAUGCAGCCAUGCCGCGUGUAUGAAGAAGGCCUUCGGGUUGUAAAGUACUUUCAGUCGUGAGGAAGGUGUUAAGGUUAAUAACCUUAGCAAUUGACGUUAGCGACAGAAGAAGCACCGGCUAACUCCGUGCCAGCAGCCGCGGUAAUACGGAGGGUGCGAGCGUUAAUCGGAAUUACUGGGCGUAAAGGGCACGCAGGCGGUUAAUAAGUUGGAUGUGAAUCCCCGGGCUUAACCUGGGAAUGGCAUUCAAGACUGGUUAGCUAGAGUCUUGUAGAGGGGGUAGAAUUCCAUGUGUAGCGGUGAAAUGCGUAGAGAUGUGGAGGAAUACCGGUGGCGAAGGCGGCCCCUGGGACAAAGACUGACGCUCAUGUGCGAAAGCGUGGGGAGCAAACAGGAUUAGAUACC
RNAcentral lists this ribosomal RNA (451 nucleotides) under uncultured bacterium. RNAcentral's name for it is "bacterial SSU rRNA". It matches the Rfam family "Bacterial small subunit ribosomal RNA", at positions 340 to 786 of the family's 1533-position model. The record is from RNAcentral.